UACGUAGGGGGCGAGCGUUGUCCGGAAUCAUUGGGCGUAAAGCGCGUGUAGGCGGCCCGGUAAGUCCGCUGUGAAAGUCCAGGGCUCAACCCUGGGAUGCCGGUGGAUACUGUCGGGCUCGAGUCCGGAAGAGGCGAGUGGAAUUCCCGGUGUAGCGGUGAAAUGCGCAGAUAUCAGGAGGAACACCAAUGGCGAAGGCAGCUCGCUGGGACGGUACUGACGCUGAGGCGCGAAAGCGUGGGGAGCAAACAGG
RNAcentral lists this ribosomal RNA (253 nucleotides) under uncultured bacterium. RNAcentral's name for it is "partial 16S ribosomal RNA". It matches the Rfam family "Bacterial small subunit ribosomal RNA", at positions 524 to 776 of the family's 1533-position model. The record is from RNAcentral.